RNAcentral lists this small nuclear RNA (19 nucleotides) under Arabidopsis thaliana (thale cress). Its description in RNAcentral is "snRNA_00359". The record is from RNAcentral. Lineage: Eukaryota; Viridiplantae; Streptophyta; Magnoliopsida; Brassicales; Brassicaceae.
CUCAGUAGGAGCUUAGGCU